GCUGCGCGAGAGGCCGAGAGGGGGCAGCAGGCGAUGGCGGCGGCGGCAGCUGCGGCUGGUCGGUUAGGCUGGUUGUUCGCUGCGCUCUGCCUGGGCAACGCCGCGGGGGAGGCCGCGCCGGGCCCGCGAGUGCUGGGCUUCUGCCUGGAGGAGGAUGGAGGGGCGGGCGCGGGGUGGGUACGCGGAGGGGCGGCACGGGACACGCCGGACGCCACCUUCCUCCUGCGCCUCUUCGGCCCGGGCUUCGCCAACAGCUCUUGGUCCUGGGUGGCCCCCGAGGGGGCGGGCUGCCGGGAGGAGGUGGCGGCCCCCGCGGGCGAGUGGCGCGCGCUGCUGCGCUUGCGCCUGCGGGCCGAAGCCGUGCGCCCGCACUCGGCGCUGCUGGCGGUGCGCGUGGAGCCGGGUGGCGGGGCGGCCGAGGAGGCGGCGCCGCCCUGGGCUCUGGGCUUGGGGGCGGCCGGGCUGCUGGCGCUGGCAGCGCUGGCGCGGGGCCUGCAGCUGAGCGCGCUGGCGCUGGCGCCUGCCGAGGUGCAGGUGCUGCGCGAGAGCGGCUCGGAGGCGGAGCGUGCGGCGGCGCGGCGUUUGGAGCCCGCGCGGCGCUGGGCCGGCUGCGCCUUGGGCGCGCUGCUGCUGCUGGCCAGCCUGGCGCAGGCGGCGCUGGCGGUGCUGCUGUACCGCGCGGCCGGCCAGCGUGCGGUGCCCGCCGUGUUGGGCAGCGCGGGGCUCGUGUUCCUGGUGGGAGAGGUGGUGCCGGCCGCCGUGAGCGGGCGCUGGACGCUGGCGCUGGCGCCGCGCGCGCUGGGUCUCAGCCGCCUGGCCGUUCUGCUCACUCUGCCGGUGGCGCUGCCCGUGGGGCAGCUGCUGGAGCUGGCGGCGCGGCCCGGGCGGCUGCGGGAGCGGGUGCUGGAGCUGGCGCGCGGCGGCGGCGACCCCUACAGCGAUCUCAGCAAGGGCGUGCUGCGCUGCCGGACCGUGGAGGACGUGCUCACGCCCCUCGAAGACUGCUUCAUGCUGGACGCCAGCACCGUGCUGGACUUCGGCGUCCUGGCCAGCAUCAUGCAGAGCGGCCACACGCGCAUCCCCGUGUACGAGGAGGAGCGCUCCAACAUCGUGGACAUGCUGUACCUCAAGGACUUGGCCUUCGUGGAUCCCGAAGACUGCACGCCGCUCAGCACCAUCACUCGUUUCUACAACCAUCCGCUCCACUUCGUCUUCAACGACACCAAGCUGGAUGCUGUCCUGGAGGAGUUCAAGCGAGGGAAGUCCCACCUGGCCAUCGUGCAGAAGGUGAACAACGAGGGUGAAGGCGACCCCUUCUACGAGGUCCUGGGCCUGGUCACCCUGGAGGACGUGAUCGAGGAGAUCAUCAGGUCCGAGAUCCUGGACGAGUCUGAAGACUACCGAGACACCGUGGUGAAGAGGAAGCCUGCUUCUCUGAUGGCCCCUCUGAUGCGGAAGGAGGAGUUCUCCUUGUUCAAGGUGUCUGAUGAUGAAUAUAAAGUAAAAAUCUCGCCUCAGCUGCUCUUGGCCACCCAGCGCUUCCUGUCCCGAGAAGUGGAUGUAUUCAGCCCGCUGCGCAUCUCUGAGAAGGUCCUGCUGCACCUGCUGAAGCAUCCCAGCGUCAACCAGGAAGUGAGGUUUGACGAGAGCAACCGCCUGGCCACACACCACUACCUGUACCAGCGCAGCCAGCCCGUGGAUUACUUCAUUCUCAUCCUGCAGGGCAGGGUUGAAGUGGAGAUCGGGAAGGAGGGUCUGAAGUUCGAGAAUGGGGCCUUCACGUACUAUGGAGUGUCGGCCCUGACUGUGCCAUCCUCGGUUCACCAGUCCCCGGUGUCCUCGCUCCAGCCCAUCCGCCAUGACCUGCAGCCCGACCCAGGUGACGGCACGCGUUCAUCUGCGUAUUGUCCCGACUACACCGUGAGGGCGCUCUCUGACCUGCAGCUCAUCAAGGUUACGCGGCUGCAGUACCUCAACGCACUCCUGGCUACCCGAGCCCAGAACCUGCCACAGUCCCCUGAGAACACUGACCUGCAGGUUAUUCCAGGCAGCCAGACCAGGCUCCUUGGUGAGAAGACCACCACAGCGGCAGGUGACAUGCAGGUGCGAGAGACAGAAAUCCCACCCUGGGCCACGUGGAUGCUUCAGCCCCUGUGGGCUCCAGAUCUGGGUGUUGGCAAAAAGGCAGCAGCCUUCCCAGUAGACCUUUCCCUCUUUGGCACAGUUGGAAACUGCAGUUGAUAAAUGACUGUGGACUAGUGCGCGUUUUUUGUUUUCAGAGCACACCCAAGGGUCCAGCCACAGCAGGCCCGGCGUCCCGGUGGAAGGCAGCCCUGGGCGGAACCCAGGCGUUUAACUGCUCACUAGGCAGCCCCAGAUCUGGGGAACAGAUGAGCACGUGGGGAGCUGGAGUGAGCUGAGCAGAAGCUUCGUGCCCGCCUGCCCCCAUCCCCUCCAGGCCACGUUUUAGAUGGCCCUUGUAGAUGCGGGUCCUGGGUGUCCUCAGAACUAGACAUCGAUGCCUGGAUCCUUCAGCCGGCCCUGCCCUCCUUUAGGAGACAGGAGUCACUAGGGCACAGCCCUCCAGGCCCGCGUUAGGAAGGAACAAAAGGAAUGCCAUCAUCUCUAGUCCCCAGGGCCCAGCCUUCCCCUUCUCCCCCGAGGCAGGGACAGUGCGGCAUACUCAGAUUCAGACCUCUUUGGGCCAAGCCACCUUGUGAGUGCAGUUACUGCCUUUGUGUGGCCGUGACCUGUAUUCGUUUGCUUUUAAUUUGCCAACCUAUCGCUGCUGGCAGCACUUUUUGAGCAAGCUGAGAGCACCCAUUUUGGCUGGGGGUUCAAAUCGAUGGCCUUGUCCAUGGUUUCCUUUCUGGCUUCCCUGACGGUGUCAUGUUUCAGAGCAUGCGCCCCAGCCUUUCCCAUGUGCCAAACCAGAAGCUCCACUGCCUGUAGGCUGUCCCUGUAGCCCUGCUCCCUCCCUGGAGGCUGCUCUUCUGAUUCUGAGAGCUGGCCUAGUGGUGCCGAGGGCCCCUUUCUGCUUCUCUGCCCACCUGCUGAGUUGCCACUCGCAGCGUUGUCAGUUCCUGUGUUCUGAGAAGAGGUCAUGCCUGGGAGGAAGGGAUCGUCAUGCUGCAUCGAAUCCUCUCUCCGCUGUGUGGCCCCCGGGAGAGUAGCUGCCUGUUGCACCUGCUCCACACCUCCCCACAGCCGCCCUGCAGGUGCUGUGUGGCCGUGAUGUGCAGAGAACAGUGAGGGAGGGUUUAUGAACCAGGUGGAUCCUCUUUAAAAAAAAAAAUCCGUUUUUGUUAUAUCUCUAGAACAUUUCAAGUCUUUUCCUUUUUUUCUGUUCCUAGCUAUGGGGUUUUAGAAAAGUGGGAACAUGAAGGCAUUUGUCUUUUUCUUCUAAUUUACUACAUUUUCCUUCCGUAGUUCUUCAGCUGUGUGGAAACUGGGGCAUCACAAGGACAUAGGAUCAUAGAUUGGGUAGGGAGGGAGGAGGAUUUCUGGAACUUUUCUCAAAGGAAUUUGGACCUUUAUAAAUGGGACUGAAGGUCAAAACAACAGUGGUAUCCUUGCUUAGAAAUUGUCCUCAAGGAAUAAACUCAGAGCAAGCCCAGGUUGGAAACAGAUGCUUUAAAAUCCUCUCUCCAGAGCAGUGGUUUUUUUGUUUAUUUGAGACGGAGUCUCACUCUGUCACCCAGGCUGGAGUGCAGUGGUGCGAUCUUGGCUCACUGCAACCUCCACCUCCCAGGUUCAAGCCAUUCUCCUGUCUCAGCCCCCUGAGUAGCUGGGAUUACAGGUGCCCACCACCACACCCGGCUAAUUUUUGUAUUUUUAGUAGAUAACGAGGUUUCACCAUGUUGGCCAGGCUGAUCUUGAACUCCUGACCUCAGGUGAUCUGCCUGCCUUGGCCUCCCAAAGUGCUGGGAUUACAGGUGUGAGCUAAGAUCAGGGAUUCUUAACCUUGGCUGCACACCAGAAUCACCUGGCAAAUUAAAAAUAUGUGGACCCGCCACAAAUUAAAUCACAGAGCUUGUGAUUUAAUCAGAGUCGGCAUCAGAGUUUUCAAUUUUUUAUUUUAUUUAUUUAUUAUUAUUAUUUUUUGAGACAAGAUCUUGCUUUGUCGCCCAGACUGGAGUGGAGUGGUGUGAUCACAGCUUGCUGCAGUCUCAACCUCCCUGGUUCAGGCCAUCCUGCCUCCUGAGUAGUAGGGACUACAGGUAGGCACCACCACACCCAGCUAAUUCUUUUAAUUUUUUUUGUAGAGAGAGGGUCUCAUUAUGUUGCCUGGGCUAGUCUCGAACUCCUAGGCUCAAGCGAUCCUCCUGCCUCGGCCUCCCAAAGUGUUGAGAUUACAGGCGUGAGCCACCGUGCCCAGAUUCAGAGAAGAGUUUCAUACACCUUUCACCCAGGUUCCCCUAAUGUUAACAUCUUACAUAUAACCUUGGCACAUUUAUCAAAACUAAAGGUGCAAUCAUACUAUUAGCUAGAGUUUAUUUGGAUUUUACCAUUUUUCCCAAUGUCCCUUUUCUGCUGCAGCAGCCAAUCCAGGAUGCCAUACUGCACUUAGAGCUGUUGCUUUCUUUUUUCCUAACUUUAUAUUUUGAAAUAAUUUCAGAUGAUAUGAAGUUGUAAAGGGCCCCACACACCCUUCAUCUAGUUUCCCUCCAUGGUUACAUCUUAUAUGAUUGUAAUGCAGUAUUCCAACAAAGACUUUGACACUGGUGCAAUGUGGGUGGACAAUCCAAAUCAUUUGUCACAUGUACAUCUGUAACUACCACUGCAAUCACGAUAAAGAAGUCCCAUCCCCGCAAGGAUCUCCCUCCCCACCAUCCCUAACUCCUGGUAACCACUAAUCGUUCAUCUCUUACUUUGUCAUUUCAAGAAUGUUGUAUAAAUGGGAGCAUAGUGUGUAAGCAUUCGGGAUUGUCUUUUUUCACUCAGCAUCAUUCUCGGCAGAUCAGGCGUUGCAUGUGUCAACAGUUUGCUCCUUUUUAUUGCUGAGUGGUAUUCCGUGGUGUAUGCAUUGGCCCCCUGAAGGACACCUGGGAUGUUUCCAGUUUGGGGCUAUUCCAAAUAAAGCUGCUACGACUAUUCACGUA
Pongo pygmaeus (Bornean orangutan) is the source of this 5102-nucleotide RNA transcript. It is a transcript of the gene named cyclin and CBS domain divalent metal cation transport mediator 3, with no coding region annotated. NCBI's taxonomy places the organism in Eukaryota, Metazoa, Chordata, Mammalia, Primates, Hominidae. The transcript has 10 exons. The record is from RefSeq and is a predicted model, not a curated record.